Molecule: ribosomal RNA, 318 nt
Filed under: uncultured Massilia sp.
Lineage: Bacteria; Pseudomonadati; Pseudomonadota; Betaproteobacteria; Burkholderiales; Oxalobacteraceae
Description: bacterial SSU rRNA
Rfam family: Bacterial small subunit ribosomal RNA
Source: RNAcentral
GCGGCGAGUGGCGAACGGGUGAGUAAUAUAUCGGAACGUACCCAGAAGUGGGGGAUAACGUAGCGAAAGUUACGCUAAUACCGCAUACGAUCUACGGAUGAAAGUGGGGGAUCGCAAGACCUCAUGCUUUUGGAGCGGCCGAUAUCUGAUUAGCUAGUUGGUGAGGUAAAGGCUCACCAAGGCGACGAUCAGUAGCUGGUCUGAGAGGACGACCAGCCACACUGGGACUGAGACACGGCCCAGACUCCUACGGGAGGCAGCAGUGGGGAAUUUUGGACAAUGGGCGCAAGCCUGAUCCAGCAAUGCCGCGUGAGUGAA